This 439-nucleotide ribosomal RNA is filed under the name uncultured bacterium. RNAcentral's name for it is "partial 16S ribosomal RNA". It matches the Rfam family "Bacterial small subunit ribosomal RNA", at positions 339 to 795 of the family's 1533-position model. The record is from RNAcentral.
CUACGGGGGGCACCAGUGGGGAAUAUUGGACAAUGGGCGCAAGCCUGAUCCAGCAAUGCCGCGUGAGUGAAGACGGCCUUAGGGUUGUAAAACUCUUUCGCUAGGGAAGAUAAUGACUGUACCUAGUAAAGAAGUCCCGGCUAACUCCGUGCCAGCAGCCGCGGUAAUACGGAGGGGACUAGCGUUGUUCGGAAUUACUGGGCGUAAAGAGUUCGUAGGCGGACUGACAAGUUAGAGGUGAAAUCCCAGGGCCCAACCCUGGAACUGCCUUUAAAACUGUCAGUCUAGAGACCGGAUGAGGUUAGGGGAAUACCUAGUGUAGAGGUGAAAUUCGUAGAUAUUAGGUGGAACACCAGUGGCGAAGGCGCCUAACUGGUCCGGUACUGACGCUGAGGAACGAAAGCGUGGGGAGCAAACAGGAUUAGAUACCCGAGUAGUC